UUUCCGUAGGUGAACCUGCGGAAGGAUCAUUCAUAAUAUGUGUUUUAUGGCACUUUUUUAAAUCCCUAUCCACCUUGUGUGCAAUGUCAGGGUUGGUCUCUUUUGCUCAGCCUCAAACAUCAACUAUGAUCUCAACUCUUUGUCUGAAAAAUAUUAUUAAUAAAACAAUUCAACAUACAACUUUCAACAACGGAUCUCUUGGCUCUC
Molecule: unclassified non-coding RNA, 207 nt
Filed under: plant metagenome
Description: partial contains small subunit ribosomal RNA, internal transcribed spacer 1, and 5.8S ribosomal RNA
Source: RNAcentral